CAAAGUCUGCCGCGUGCGGAGUUUGGUACAAACGGUAAUCCACAGUAUUUAUACGGGAGCAGGUAUUCUCGGCGAUAGGCAAGGUCUGUUAUUGCAACGGAAAGUCUGAUGCGUCAAGAUGCGGCACCCACCUUGCGAGAACGCGGGGUUAACUUUUACCAAGGUGCGGCGAUGGCGGAUUUUUA
RNAcentral lists this non-coding RNA (185 nucleotides) under Clostridia bacterium. RNAcentral describes it as "6S RNA". It matches the Rfam family "6S / SsrS RNA". From Rfam's summary of the family: E. coli 6S RNA was the first non coding RNA to be sequenced, but its function was unknown until recently. It consists of 184 nucleotides that fold into an extended hairpin structure with a large single-stranded internal bulge. The record is from RNAcentral. Lineage: Bacteria; Bacillati; Bacillota; Clostridia.